This 4934-nucleotide long non-coding RNA is filed under the name Aquilegia coerulea. RNAcentral's name for it is "long non-coding RNA (ACOE_LNC000715)". Lineage: Eukaryota; Viridiplantae; Streptophyta; Magnoliopsida; Ranunculales; Ranunculaceae. The record is from RNAcentral.
UUGAACCAACCAUGUGCUGGAAUGUACUGUCCAGGGCUAUAAAUUCAGAAGUUGGGAGAGAACAAUAAUAACAACACAGAGAAGAAUACAAGUGUUGUGUGUGAGAGAAGCCUCCAUUGUUGGAGAGAUUUUGUGAGAGAGAUUGAGAGACAAGAGAGUGACAGUUUGUAAUUUCCUCUAACCCUUUCUCUAUCAAAUUUAGUCGUGUGGACGUAGGCAACAACUUGCUGAACCACCUUAAAAAUUGUGGUGUUCUUUUGUAGUUAAGUUACUGUUCGUUAGACUGUUUCGCAUUGUUCAUAUCGUAUACUGUUCGUAUACGGUUCUGUUUGUAUAGUACUGUUCGCAUAGGAAUUUUGUAUGUAAUUCCUAACAAGUGGUAUCAAAGCUGUGGUUCAAUCGAAUUCGUAAUUUUGCGAAACAUGGAAAACACUUCAACCUCGCGAAUGAUAAGCCUAAACAGGAGCAAUUAUAUCAUAUGGAAAGCUAAGAUGGAAGACUUGCUAUAUUGCAAGGAUUUGGCUCAGCCCAUAGAAAACGAAGGUGUACGACCAGAAAAGAUCAAAGAGGAAGACUGGAAGCUCUUAGAUCGAAAAGCAAUUGGCUAUAUUCGACAAUGGAUUGAUGAUAGUGUAUUUCAUCAUGUGUCUCAAGAGAAGACAGCUUACCAACUUUGGAAAAAGCUAGAAGAUCUCUAUGAGAGGAAGACCGCAGGCAACAAGGUGUUACUAAUUAAACAGUUUGUCAAUAUGAAGUACAGGGAUGGUGCAUCAAUGGCAGAACACCUGAACGAAGUACAAAACAUCAUCAAUCAACUUUCUCAGAUGAAGAUAGUUCUAGAUGAUGAAGUACAUGCUCUACUACUGUUAAGUUCUCUUCCAGAUAGUUGGGAGACCCUGGCAGUGUCACUUAGCAAUUCCACGCAAGAUGGAGUUCUCACAGUUGCGCAAGUUACACAUGCUCUAUUCAAUGAAGAAACCAGAAGAAGCUCUCAAGGGGGAGCCCGCACAGAAGCUCUUGUCACAGAAAAGCGAGGAAGAAGCAAAAGUAGAAGGCCACAGAACAGUGACAACCGAAGUAAGUCUAGAAGUAAGUCUAGACUACGAAAGAAAGACUUAGCAUGUCAUUAUUGUGGCGUAAAGGGCCACUUCAAGUAUGAAUGCAGAAAGCUCAAAAGAGAUGAACAAAACGACACCGCCAACGACAAGCAAGAAAAGGAAACCACCGCCGUAGUCUCUGAUGGUGAACUUAUGGUAAUCUCAGAAUGUACUGAUUCCUGCCUUAGCAUUUCAAGCCAAGACACCGAUUGGGUAGUCGACUCUGCAGCAUCCUUCCAUGUCACACCUCAUCGGAGUUUUUUCACCAACUACAAGUCAGGCAACUUUGGUGAAAUAAAGAUGGGAAACCAUGGAGUUUCAAAGAUUGUGGGCAUUGGUGAUAUACAUGUGGAAACAAAUGUUGGGUACAGUUUGGCACUAAACAAUGUCAGACAUGUUCCAGAUCUUCGGUUGAAUCUAAUUUCAACUGGAAUAUUGGAUGAUGAAGGCUUUCACAACGUCUUUGCCAAUGGGACAUGGAAACUCAGCAGAAAUGCAUUGGUGGUAGCAAGAGGGAGGAAAUGUUGCUCACUCUACAAGACACAAUUUAAGUUAUGUAGAAGUGAACUAAAUGUAGCAGUUGAGGAAUCAUCAUUGAAGUUAUGGCACAAGCGACUAGCUCACAUGAGCGAUAAAGGACUUGCAUUCCUCGUCAAGAAGCAAGCCUUGCCAUUCCUUAAAAGUACCUCUUCCUAUAGGUGCACUCAUUGUUUAAUCGGGAAACAACAUAGAGUUUCGUUUCAGAAAUCUCCCGCUCAUCGAAAGACAGAUAUACUUGAGCUUGUUCACUCAGAUGUGUGUGGACCAAUGAAAGUCAAGUCCCUAGGGGGAGCUUCAUACUUCGUGACAUUUAUCGAUGACGCUUCAAGAAAAGUUUGGGUUUAUACAUUAAAGACAAAAGAUCAGGUCUUUGAUGUGUUCAAGACUUUCCAUGCAAUGGUGGAAAGAGAGAAAGGCAAACCUCUGAAGUGUAUUCGUACAGAUAAUGGGGGAGAGUAUAUUGGAGGCUUCGAGAAGUAUUGCAAGCAGCAUGGUAUUCGUCAUGAACAAACAGUCCCAAAGACUCCACAACACAAUGGAGUAGCCGAGAGAAUGAAUCGUACAAUCGUGGAGAGGAUGAGAUGUCUAUUAUCUCAUGCAAAACUUCCAAGAAGUUACUGGGGUGAAGCACUGCGUACUGCUGUUUAUAUAAUCAACCUAUCACCUUCCAAAGCAUUAGACAAUGGAGUAGCGGAACACUUAUGGUCCGACAGACAUGUUGAUUAUGGGCACUUGAGGGUAUUUGGUUGCAGGGCAUUUGUUCAUGUCCCCAGAGAUGAACGAACAAAGCUUGACGACAAAGCAAGGCAAUGUAUCUUCUUAGGAUAUGCUGAUGAAAAAUUCGGCUACAGGCUACUUGAUCCAGUUACAAAGAAAGUUAUCCGGAGUCGAGAUGUGGUAUUUCUGGAAGAUCAAACCAUUGAAGACUUUGAGAAGGGUGAAAAGCUAGCAAAGUAUGUUGAUGACCUUGUUGACUUGGACCCAGUAGUUCCACCCUUGGAACAAGUGGCAAAUGAGUCAAGUACGGAAGAUCAUGAGUUCGAGAUCCAUGAUAACGUUCGUGUAGAUGAAGAUGAUGAUGCGCAACCACAGGUAGAACAAGAUCAUACUCACCAUGCUCAAGAACAAGCUUAUGCAUUGAGAAGAUCCACCAAAAAUCGUAAAGCUUCAACCAAGUAUCCACCACACGAAUACGUGUUGCUUUCAGAUGGUGGAGAACCUGAGUAUUACCAAGAAGCACUUGAAGACGCUCAGAGUAAAGAAUGGUUGAAGGCUAUGAAAGACGAAAUGAGUUCUUUGCAUAAGAACAAUACUUUUGAUCUCGUUGAGAAACCUCAAGGGAAAAAGAUUCUCAAGAAUAAAUGGGUGUACAAGGUCAAAAGUGAAGAUGUCAACUCACAACCAAGGUACAAAGCUCGCCUUGUUGUGAAAGGUUUUGAUCAAAGGAAAGGCAUAGACUUUGACGAAAUAUUUUCACCUGUGGUAAAAAUAACUUCUAUCCGAGUUGUAUUAGGUAUGGUUGCAAGCAUGAAUCUGGAGAUUGAGCAACUAGACGUAAAAACAGCAUUUCUUCAUGGUGAUCUUGAAGAGGAUGUGUAUAUGACACAACCUGAAGGUUUUGAAGUCAAGGGCAAAGAAGAUAUGGUAUGCAAGCUUAGAAAAAGCUUGUAUGGUUUGAAACAGGCACCCAGACAGUGGUACAGGAAGUUCGAGUCGUUUAUGAUUGAUCAUGGAUACAAGAAAUCGACUGCUGACCAUUGUGUAUUUAUACAAAGGUUCCCUGAUGGUGACUUUAUAAUUCUUCUGCUCUAUGUUGACGACAUGCUGAUCGUAGGCCCAAACAUCAACAAAAUCUCUAAGUUGAAAAAGAACCUAAGUAAGUCAUUUGAUAUGAAAGACUUAUGGCAGGCAAAACAAAUACUUGGCAUGCGCAUUUCUCGUGAUCGGAAGAUGAGGAAACUGUGGUUAUCUCAAGAGGGGUACAUUGAGAAAGUAUUGAAAAGGUUCAAUAUGGAUAAAACUAAGCCAGUUAGCACUCCACUUGCUAGUCACCUCCAGCUGACUAGUGACAAACGCCCCAAGAGCGAGAAAGACAAGAAGGAAAUGUUCAAAGUUCCUUAUGCAUCUGCUGUCGGGAGUUUGAUGUAUGCAAUGAUUUGCACAAGACCAGACAUAGCAUUCGCCGUUGGAAAGGUAAGCCAGUUCUUAUCCAAUCCGGGUAAAGAGCAUUGGGAAGCAGUCAAAUGGAUACUAAGGUAUCUUAGAGGCUCAUCAAAGGCAAGUAUAUGUUUUUGUGGUCAAAAACCUAUAUUAGAAGGGUACACAGAUGCAGAUAUGGCUGGAGAUAUUGACAGCAAGAAGUCUACUUCAGGCUACUUGUUUACCUUCGCAGGGGGAGCAGUUUCAUGGCAAUCCAAGCUGCAGAAAUGUGUGGCUCUAUCUACAACGGAAGCUGAAUACAUAGCCAUCACUGAGGCUUGUAAAGAAAUAUUAUGGUUAACGAGGUUUUUUUGUGAGAUUGGACUGUAAUUCACUGCGACAGCCAAAACGCCAUUCACCUAAGCAAGAAUGCUAGUUUCCACUCGAAGUCUAAACAUAUCCAUGUGCGGUAUCACUGGAUUCGUGAAGUGCUCGAGAGCAAGGAGCUAUUUGUGGAGAAGAUCCAUACUGAUGAUAAUGGAUCUGAUAUGAUGACUAAGGUGUUGCCGAAAAGCAAGCAUGAUGUAUGUUGUGCCAUCGCCGGAUUGGUGGCACGCACCUGCUGAGAAAAGGUUGACGAUGGUACCCCCCUCAUGACUCGGGAGGGGGAGAUUUGUUGGGGUUAUCCCUCCCCAUGAGAGUCAAGAUCCUCUAGAAGGAAAAGACUAUCUAGAGGUGUUACAGUUCCAAGGUUUGAAUUAUGAAGGUUAACAUUAAUGUAGUUGUAUUUUGUUGAACUUAGUGCUAUGGUGGUUGAACCAACCAUGUGCUGGAAUGUACUGUCCAGGGCUAUAAAUUCAGAAGUUGGGAGAGAACAAUAAUAACAACACAGAGAAGAAUACAAGUGUUGUGUGUGAGAGAAGCCUCCAUUGUUGGAGAGAUUUUGUGAGAGAGAUUGAGAGACAAGAGAGUGACAGUUUGUAAUUUCCUCUAACCCUUUCUCUAUCAAAUUUAGUCGUGUGGACGUAGGCAACAACUUGCUGAACCACCUUAAAAAUUGUGGUGUUCUUUUGUAGUUAAGUUACUGUUCGUUAGACUGUUUCGCAUUGUUCAUAUCGUAUACUGUUCGUAUACGGUUCUGUUUGUAUAGUACUAUUU